CCUACGGGAGGCUGCAGUGGGGAAUAUUGCACAAUGGGGGAAACCCUGAUGCAGCGACGCCGCGUGCGUGAAGAAGUAUCUCGGUACGUAAAGCUCUAUCAGCAGGGAAGAAAAUGACGGUACCUGACUAAGAAGCCCCGUCUAACUACGUGCCAGCAGCCGCGGUAACACGUAGGGGGCAAGCGUUAUCCGGAUUUACUGGGCGUAAAGGGAGCGUAGACGGCAGCACAAGUCUGGAGUGAAAUCCCGGGGCUUAACCCCGGAACUGCAUUGGAAACUGUGCGGCUGGAGUGCAGGCGGGGGAAGCGGAAUUCCUAGGGUAGCGGUGAAAUGCGUAGAUAUGAGGAGGAACACCGGUGGCGAAGGCGGCUUACUGGACUGUAACUGACGUUGAGGCUCGAAAGCGUGGGGAGCGAACAGGAUUAGAUACCCCAGUAGUC
RNAcentral lists this ribosomal RNA (440 nucleotides) under uncultured bacterium. RNAcentral's name for it is "partial 16S ribosomal RNA". It matches the Rfam family "Bacterial small subunit ribosomal RNA", at positions 338 to 795 of the family's 1533-position model. The record is from RNAcentral.